Molecule: ribosomal RNA, 460 nt
Filed under: uncultured bacterium
Lineage: Bacteria
Description: partial 16S ribosomal RNA
Rfam family: Bacterial small subunit ribosomal RNA
Source: RNAcentral
CCUACGGGAGGCAGCAGUGAGGAAUAUUGGUCAAUGGACGAGAGUCUGAACCAGCCAAGUAGCGUGAAGGAGGACUGCCCUAUGGGUUGUAAACUUCUUUUAUAAAGGAAUAAAACGAGGCACGUGUGCCUUUUUGCGUGUACUUUAUGAAUAAGGAUCGGCUAACUCCGUGCCAGCAGCCGCGGUAAUACGGAGGAUCCGAGCGUUAUCCGGAUUUAUUGGGUUUAAAGGGAGCGUAGAUGGGUUGUUAAGUCAGUUGUGAAAGUUUGCGGCUCAACCGUAAAAUUGCAAUUGAUACUGGCAGUCUUGAGUACAGUUGAGGUAGGCGGAAUUCGUGGUGUAGCGGUGAAAUGCUUAGAUAUCACGAAGAACUCCGAUUGCGAAGGCAGCUUACUAAACUGUGACUGACAUUGAUGCUCGAAAGUGUGGGUAUCGAACAGGAUUAGAUACCCUAGUAGUC